UUUUGCCGCACAGCGCCCUGCAUGUCUCCCUCCACCAUGAAUGGAGUUGAAGUUCUCUAAACUCUCAUAAAACAGCGUCUCAGUCAUCAGGCAGUGAAUUCAGAACCAGUUCAUGUAGGAACUUUAUGUGAGGAGCUUUUAGAGGGGGACGUCUGGUUCCCAUCACCACCACUGUGAACAGCUUCCCUUUAACACACUCCAAACAGCACUUCGUGGGCUCUCAGGCUAAACCACAAACACUAAAGUGUUUUUUUUGUCUAAUUUAACUUCUGAGACAAAUACAAGCAAUGCAGACAUCUGGCCCUGUAGAGUCCGCUGUGCUCCAGCAGGGGGCGCUCACCGACACAGCUGCUCCUCCACAAAGCAUUCACGACAGGAAACGACCAGCGCACGCUGCUGUGUCUAAAGGUGCCCUGCGGUGUAUCGUGUCUGUCCGCGCCCGUCUGGACGGGGAGCCGAGCGGCGGCUGAAAUCCCCCAGCGGCUGCAGGCUGCCACACACGCUCUCCUGCGCUCCACACACACUCCGCACACACGCAGAUCCACACAGACAGGAGUCUCAGCAUAUGGCUGCGCCAGGACUCUGCUGAAGCUCUGACACGGGGAAAAACAUGGACAAACGGAGGAGAAGGGACAGUCCACCCAAAAAUGAGCUCCAUGCUCACUGCUCCCACACACACACGCGUGAUGGCUGCUGUUUGAGUGUGUGUUAGGGUUCUCACUGUCACUUAAAUUAGCACACAAGUAAUGGGACUGCUUAGUAGGAUAAACACACAAUGACACAGUAACGUACGUGAGCUGGACUCUGAACUAAUCACACUGUUACGUACAUUUACAGUCACUGUAGUCUGUACAGAAGCUUUUCCUACAGACAAAAUCAACACAUGACAACAAGUGUUCAGAUUACCGGCUGCCAGCAGGGUCAUUUGCAGGCUAAUCACAUUUGGCCAGAACUCUUUUAUUAGUGCGCUAGAGUCGCUUUGAAGGCCGUUAGCUGAUAAUUGCUGUGGGCCUAGUAAUCGUACUAUGGGCCGCUGAAGUUUAGUAGCGCUGUCUUUUUCAGCGUCUACUUUGAUGGUAGGUGAGUUGUUUUGCUACAGCGACACACAAUUGCGACCGACUUGGAAUUGAAAGUGAUUUGCUCCGCCCACACUGGCCUUUUUUUCCACACCUCCUCUGUACAUAUUCUCUGAAAAGCUACAUUUUCAUUGGCUCAUUUAAGUUUAAGGUUCUGUAGAACAUACACAUCAAUUUCAUACUAGACCCUGAGUCAUUUAUACUCAUAAUUUAUACUAAUAUACUAGAAUAAUUCAUACUGGAUACUGAAUAAUUAAUUAUAGACACUGAGUGAUUCGUACUAGACAAUGAAUAAUUAAUUGUAUACAAUGAAUAAUUCAUACCAGAUGCUGAAUAAUCCAUACGACAUACUGAAUAAUUCAUACUAGAUGCGGAAUAAUUAAUUGUAUACAAUGAAUAAUUCGUAGUAGAUACUGAAUCAUUCGUAGUAGAUAAUGAAUAAUUCAUACGAGACACUGAAUAAUUGUAUACAAUGAAUAAUUCAUACCAGAUGCUGAAUAAUUCAUAUGAGACACUGAAUAAUUAAUUUUAUACAAUGAAUAAUUAAUACUAGAUACUGAAUUAUUUGUACUAGAUACUGAAUAAGUCAUACAAGACACGAAAUAAUUCAUAUUAGAUACUUCAAAGCAGAUGCUGAAUAGGUCUUAAGAUUAGUAACUGAAGUAUUUGCCUGGGAUUUGAAACGACUUUACGGUGUUUAAUAACAAUAAUAAUAGUUGUGGUCUCAAGGUCUUAAUUUCUUAGUUGACGAUUUUUAAUCUGGUUUAAGUUUAAUCAAGUAAUCGUGACAGCCCUGGUAUGACUGAGUGAGUGAGCG
This is a long non-coding RNA of Pygocentrus nattereri (red-bellied piranha), 1893 nucleotides long. The record is from Ensembl. Lineage: Eukaryota; Metazoa; Chordata; Actinopteri; Characiformes; Serrasalmidae.